GUCUAUAGUCAUGCCACCCUGAACGUGCCCGAUCUCGUCGGGGCUGGUUAAUACUUGGAUGGGAGACCACCUAGGAAUACCAGGUGCUGUAGGCA
RNAcentral lists this ribosomal RNA (95 nucleotides) under Pteropus alecto (black flying fox). Lineage: Eukaryota; Metazoa; Chordata; Mammalia; Chiroptera; Pteropodidae. The record is from RNAcentral.